GUGUCAGCAGCCGCGGUAAUACGGAGGGUGCAAGCGUUAAUCGGAUUUACUGGGCGUAAAGCGUGCGUAGGCGGCUUUUUAAGUCGGAUGUGAAAUCCCUGAGCUUAACUUAGGAAUUGCAUUCGAUACUGGGAAGCUAGAGUAUGGGAGAGGAUGGUAGGAUUCCAGGUGUAGCGGUGAAAUGCGUAGAGAUCUGGAGGAAUACCGAUGGCGAAGGCAGCCAUCUGGCCUAACACUGACGCUGAGGUGCGAAAGCAUGGGGAGCAAACAGGAUUAGAAACCCGGGUAGUCC
Molecule: ribosomal RNA, 292 nt
Filed under: uncultured prokaryote
Description: partial 16S ribosomal RNA
Rfam family: Bacterial small subunit ribosomal RNA
Source: RNAcentral